CAAACUGGAGGAAAGGAGACACUUUACAAGAAAUUGGGCAAAAAGUUGGAGUUUGGUUUAUUGCUCAGCUGUUUCUGUAUUAUCAUCAACUAUAGUGUGUUCCUGCACUGAGCUAAACGGUCCUUUCGUAAUCUAUAGGUACGUAACUUCCUGAGGCAGCUGGUGGCUGCUAUAACUAUUAGCCAGAAAAAAAGGUGUUCUUCCUCUUCUCCUCGGCAGCUCUAUCAGCGGCCCCAGUUCGAUUUUGUGUCACUUUUUUUUACUAAAAUUUGCUUUAGCUUCAGAAUGGAUUUAUGAAGGUAUUCUGCAAAGCGAGUCAAUUAUGCUUUCCUCGUUCACACUUCAGGAUAGCAUUGGCCGUUAGAAAGUGGAAGACGCUUACCUUUCGCUGCAAGAGCACAGUGGCUCAGAGCAACUACGCACGCAACCAGUGCCAGGGAGUACAUUGCCGCCAGUCCACAAGCCCAAA
Phalacrocorax carbo (great cormorant) is the source of this 469-nucleotide non-coding RNA. Lineage: Eukaryota; Metazoa; Chordata; Aves; Suliformes; Phalacrocoracidae. The record is from RefSeq and is a predicted model, not a curated record.